Non-coding RNA from Danio rerio (zebrafish), 3405 nucleotides. Lineage: Eukaryota; Metazoa; Chordata; Actinopteri; Cypriniformes; Danionidae. The record is from RefSeq and is a predicted model, not a curated record.
AGACCACUUCCACGAUUCAGCACGAACCGAGGAAUAACACGCAGAGACCGCGUUGUGCUUUUGGUUGUUUCCCUUGGAUAGCAAUGCGUGCGUAAUGCACGCCAAUGCAUACAAUAGUAGUCUAACCUUUAUAAAUCAUUACAUAAAAACAUAAUGAUAACAAAGGGAGCGUGGACCCAUUCUCAACAUCGCUUAUGUUUAUUAUAAGCUCUGAUAUGGGUAUCCGAAAUGGAGAACGCUAAACUAUUUACAAUAGUAGAGAAACUUGGAUACCCUUUUUAAGGUGCGUAAUUAAGUUUCCCCAUACGUUAUGUGUGUACUUUUACGCGAAAGCCCUUGCAAAUGGGAUGUUCUGCACUAAUAACACGAAAUAUUGUUUUCACAACAUGUCUAUAUACUUCACAUUUCACGCAAACAUCAUUACUCGGGAACAGCAUACGCUGUACUUCAGCGGUGAUGUGCCGCGCUCUCAGCCGAAACACCCCCGCCAUUUGUGAAUGGGCUCAUCCACUUACUGUAGGAUCUUAGGAGUUUGGUGCAGUGUCCAAUGAAAGUGUGUUACAGUGAAUCAAGCCAUCUAUUGGUGCAAAGAAUGAUCAAUCAUUAAUUUAUCGGUUGAUAUGCUUCCAUAAAUGAAGAAAGGGUGGAAUGAAAAUAUUGUAAUCUGGAGGGAAAAUGUAGUCUCCAUAUUCUGUUUUGUCUAUUCUAAUGCUCACUCUCUAGCACAGUCAUUCUCUAUCUAACACACAUUGUAGCCACUGACACAAUUAUUUUUUUCAAGAUAUAAAAGUAAAUGUUUGUUUUAAUAUUCUUAUUUGUGUAUAUACAUGUGCAAUUUGCAAUGUUUAGUUUGUGCCUCUCUAUCAAUAUUUAUAAUUAAACUAGUGGAUACAACUUUUACCAUGCAUUUUAAUGCUAGUGUGUACGACCUUUUACGUUAACAUUUUGGAGAGGUCACUUGUGCUGAGUUACAUUUAAAGUACAAGCCCCUAAAUAAAUCGAGAUGGUUGUUUUAUGAAUAUUACAUCUUCCAUAAAAUGCUAUAAGAGGCUUUAAACAAAAACUGAUUGAUGUAGUCUGAAGCGCUCCAUUGUGGCCAAUACAACUGACCCGGUGACAAGGUGUAUGAAGUUUGUCAGAGGAGCAUCUGUCAUCGAUCAGAAGCGAUUAAUGCGAGCAACAGUGUCUUAUCAGCUGCCGUGAGCAUCACACGACCCCCGUUUCCCGCAGAAGAGCAGCGACAGGAUCCGGCGCGCACAUUUACAGGCAUGAAAUUACUAUCAAAUCCCCAAAGCGCUCGGCAAACCAAGGGUGCGCGCUGCGCGGGCGACGGAUCUGAUGUGGACUUAAACACAAAUGAAAGAAGGAUUCAUGCAACAGAUAUAUUACAGAUAUACGACUAGAACCACAGAUAAACACGCACGCGUUUGUCGUCGCUAUUGAAAGCAACAUGCCGCUGUGGUUCAGAAGUCAAACGGAGGUCAUCCUUUAUAUCCCCCCGCAGCAAUCCGCGACCAGGGGCCAGUCAGCAGUGAACCCUGCCUUCUCCACUACUGACAACUGCCUGAAACUUACAAGACUAUCGGGAAUGGGUAAGACGCGCUGGGAUAAAACAGCAGGCUAUAACUUUUUUCUUGAUCUUGCCACUGCCUGGUUAUAAUGCUCUUAGUGUGUUUCAAGUGUUUGCAAAAUGCGCAGUGUGUGAAUAUACAAAAUCUCCUAAUCGGUAAGCUAUUUAUUUAUUUGACUUUACUUGCGUUUUCCAAUCCAAGUGCAGCAGAGACGUUUUUCAACAAUUACUACAAUUAAAAUAACACGAGAUAAACAGUAUUUACUAUUGCGGGGAAAUUAAAUUCAUCACCUCGACAGCUUUAUAAAUGUACCGUGAUUACAAAACUCUCGCAUAAAAGAAAACUUUUAAUAGUUCAUAAAUAGGCCUAUUCGAGGCUACGUGAACGUGUUCUGCGUCCAGAUAUUUUAAGUAGGCUACAACUUGUGAGAAGAUUUAAAAAUGCCAAAUUACAUAUAUUACAGGUGUAGUUAAAGUUGGAGUAUUUGGGCUCUUAACUUUUGGUUGUUGUUGUUGAAGCAUUUUAAAUAAACCAAAUAAUGCGCUGUGUUGACAGUUAAGAUUGUUUAUUUUACGCUUAUUUAUAGUCAUAUUUAGAUUGAAUAUUUACAUAUAUAUUUUAUAAGUCUGUGUUUUUUAUAUAAUUUCGCAUUGUGCUUUUCUGAAAGUGCACUAUUUUGUUAUUUUAUUUAGCUUGACAUUGUUUUGAUUUCAACAUACUUUCCUUAAGAAAUACACUGCAGGACAACUGAAUCUGCAUUAGUGUACACUAAUACACGAGAUCUAAAAGAAAAAUAUUGCAUAUUUUGUCAUAUGCAAAGGCUUGCAGUGACCUGUAUGCUUGAUCAUGUGCGCCUUCUACUGGAAACAUAAAGAAUUAUUUUCCUUUGUUACUUAAUGAGAGACGUUUCUGUCAUAAAAGAAACAGGCGAAUUGCAUUCAAAACAUACUGCGCCGCUUCUAAAUAAAAGCUCCAAUUAUUAGUUUGUUAAUUAUGAUAAUCAAUUAUGAAAGUUUAAGUAACGGAAUUUGCAUUUCAAACUAUUUGACAAAGUAAUAUUUUGAUGACGGCUCAUUGAUAAAUCCGUCAAUGGUUAAUAUAUGGUAACCUGUACGCUUAUUUGUCUUAAAUAUAUAUUCCUCAAGUACGUAAAACGCGCUGAACUGUUUAUCAAUGAAGCACGAGAUGAGACUUUACAUAGCUUUUUCAUUUAGUAUAUGUGUAAUAAUUUUUGUGAUUAACAACACUGAAGACCGAUCGUCAGAAAAUGUCUCAUUUGUCCAGUUUUUACUGAAUUAAUUAGGCUAGUAAAAAUCAAGUAACUUAAAUUAACUUAUUAAUGUUUUCUGCGUACUUUUGAUUAUCCUGUUACUGACAAAAAAACAAUUAGGAACAAGUGAAAGAAACUCAAAUAAGACAAUUAAUUAAAAGAAAAAAAUAUUUAUAAUAAUAAUAAUAUAAACCGUGCUAGAUGUAAAUAAAUCAAAAUGAAUAUGAUUAAAAGUCAUGUCUCCGUUAAAAUGAACAAAAAAUGAACCACUGAAGACGAGAAGAGUCAACAUCACUUUACAAAUUACUAUCUUCACAAUUUACUAUCUUACAUUAAACUUUCAAAAAAUAGAUUAGUUGAAUUUACUAUAGGGAUUCCCGUUUUUUUUACAGCUUGCAAUAGCAGCUUAUCAGUGAAGCAUAAAGAAAAGCACUUCAGAGAAAUCAGUGUGUUGUUACAUGUAUGCAUCUGGCCUACUGAAUAUGUAAGGGUGUUGUUCAAAUGUUAUCAAUGCCACUAUCACUGCAAAUGUCAGAAUAUGAGAAUAAAUUUUAAAUCAACACA